Molecule: long non-coding RNA, 988 nt
Organism: Chelonia mydas (Green sea turtle)
Lineage: Eukaryota; Metazoa; Chordata; Testudines; Cheloniidae
Exons: 3
Source: RefSeq, a predicted model, not a curated record
GGAUUGCAUGUCACCAUGACUCAGCAAGGAUGUUUCUAGCUGAAGAAAUUGAAUUCUAAAGAGGAAGGAAAAACACUUGAUUCACCUCUCCUCCUCCCAUCUUUCUGUCUUGACAUCAACACCUCUCAAAGAACUCAGCUAAGGGUGAAUGGUCUCAGGCUGAAAGGAGACCCAGCCUGUGCAAUGUAUAGCAGCACAUGGAUGCCUGCCUCAUUCAGUGCACAGGACGGACCCAGUUUGGGAUUGAAUUAAGGUUAUCUAGCAAUGGGGCUGUUGUUGGUCAAUACCUUCCUGAUUUGUUGCGGUGGUUUGAAGGCAUGUGGUGAAUGAGGUUGCAAAAGGCUGGGAAGGGGGAGGAAAGAAGGAAAAAAAAACCAACCCAAAACACAGGUUAACUUGAUGUUCCAGCUAAACCCGAAGAUAAGACGCUGACUCGAGCCCAAGGCCAGCUACUACCUGCCAAGACAGAAGGAGGGGAAGUCCAACCCCCCCCAACCAGCCGUGAGGAAGGAGAGUUGUUGAAUGAACUGCAGAGGCCACGAAAAGAAGCAAGAUGGCAAAGGCCAGCCAGGGACAAACAAAACAGUCUCACAGCCCUGAAACCGGUGUGUUUUGGGAAAGAUGAAGAAGCCAUGGAAGGCUGGUUUGGACUGGUACACAGAGUAUGGGGAGGAAAGGUCUCUGAAGGAGACGCCCCCAAGAAACCCCAGGACUUAAAACCCUCCUGGGAGCUAAGGCAAAUCGGAGAUCACAGCAGAUCCUGGAUGACCCGUGCAAGGACAAGAACUCCCACCCACCCCUCCCCCUCUUCCUCUUAUGUUACACCCAGGCUUGGCCAGCCUUGGGUAGUGCAGGUGUGAGUAUGAAAGUGGCUUAAGGCUUGGGGCACUAAUGCAUUCUUCCCUCCUCUGAGUGUUGUGGGGACCCUCCCCUCCCCCACACUCUCAGCUGUUAUUUUAUUAUUUUAUCAAUAAAGCUUUAAAACUUA